AACCCUAAAAAGUCAAACUUGGUCAACUGUGACUGAUUUUAUGGUUUUGAUGGAUGGAUUUGGUUUGAGAGAGCUUAUUCAUGUCCAAAUAGGCCUCAUGUAUCAUGGCAAACAACAUCAUUGAAGAAUUUGAAGCCAAUCAGAAAAUUUCCAAAAAUAGAAACUGGACCUGUAAUUUUAACUGCCAAAAAUGGAAACUUCUUGAUCCCAAACUUACAUCAUGAUACAAGCUUCAAAUGAAUUUUUGCCCAACAUGAAAG
RNAcentral lists this long non-coding RNA (260 nucleotides) under Lathyrus oleraceus (garden pea). Its description in RNAcentral is "Pisum sativum (pea) long non-coding RNA (PSAT_LNC026895)". The record is from RNAcentral. Lineage: Eukaryota; Viridiplantae; Streptophyta; Magnoliopsida; Fabales; Fabaceae.